RNAcentral lists this ribosomal RNA (112 nucleotides) under Cordylochernes scorpioides. Lineage: Eukaryota; Metazoa; Arthropoda; Arachnida; Pseudoscorpiones; Chernetidae. The record is from RNAcentral.
ACGGACAUACCACAUUGAAAACACUGGUUCUCAUCCGAUCACUAAAGUUAAGCAAUGUCGGUCAGUACUUGGGAGGGUGACCACCUGGGAACACCAGGUAUAACUGUAGGCU